UUGAACGCUGGCGGCAUGCUUUACACAUGCAAGUCGAACGGCAGCGGGGGCUUCGGCCUGCCGGCGAGUGGCGAACGGGUGAGUAAUGCAUCGGAACGUGCCCAGUCAUGGGGGAUAACUACGCGAAAGCGUAGCUAAUACCGCAUACGCCCUGAGGGGGAAAGCGGGGGAUCGCAAGACCUCGCGCGAUAGGAGCGGCCGAUAUCGGAUUAGCUUGUUGGUGAGGUAAAGGCUCACCAAGGCGACGAUCCGUAGCUGGUCUGAGAGGACGACCAGCCACACUGGAACUGAGACACGGUCCAGACUCCUACGGGAGGCAGCAGUGGGGAAUUUUGGACAAUGGGGGCAACCCUGAUCCAGCCAUUCCGCGUGAGUGAAGAAGGCCUUCGGGUUGUAAAGCUCUUUCAGACGGAAAGAAAUCGGGCGCGUGAAUAGCGUGCCUGGAUGCCGGUACUGUCAGAAGAAGCACCGGCUCACUACGU
Molecule: ribosomal RNA, 482 nt
Filed under: uncultured bacterium
Lineage: Bacteria
Description: bacterial SSU rRNA
Rfam family: Bacterial small subunit ribosomal RNA
Source: RNAcentral